This 131-nucleotide small RNA is filed under the name Klebsiella pneumoniae. RNAcentral describes it as "RtT sRNA". It matches the Rfam family "RtT RNA". Rfam says of the family: This family represents a bacterial cis-regulatory element known as RtT RNA. The exact function of RtT is unknown although it is thought that it may be involved in changing the cellular response in relation to amino acid starvation. Lineage: Bacteria; Pseudomonadati; Pseudomonadota; Gammaproteobacteria; Enterobacterales; Enterobacteriaceae. The record is from RNAcentral.
UAUUCUGCCCCAUGGGGAAGGAUGAGAAGCUUCGACCAAGGUUCGACUCGAGCGAAGCGAGAGAACGUUGCCGCAGGCAACGGCCCGAAGGCGAGGCGCUUUAGCGCCGAGUAAUCCUUCCCCCACCACUG